This 1299-nucleotide long non-coding RNA is filed under the name Macaca fascicularis (crab-eating macaque). RNAcentral's name for it is "lncRNA (ENSMFAG00000049128.1)". Lineage: Eukaryota; Metazoa; Chordata; Mammalia; Primates; Cercopithecidae. The record is from RNAcentral.
AUUUCAUCACCCAAAAUACACUUUAACAAUAGACAAUAAUUAUUUCCCUUAUUGAGAUUGGCAGCCACCAGGGAAAGGGAAAUUUUGGUAGUUACAAUUGGGAAGAUGAAGGAUAGAGAGGUAUAUUUUGAGAAAAAAGUGUAGAUGGGGUAGCAGUUUGGAUUAUUGUGGUGUCACAUGAGGACUCUUAUCCCAGGGGGGUUGGAUAAACUAGGUAGGGUAAAUGCUUUUGAUUACUUUUGCAUACCUGUCUUUGGUUCUAUUGCUUGUUUUGCCAUGAAAGUAAUUUAAAAUUCUAGAUUAACGAUGCCUAAGUUCGAGUAUUAGGUCUGAUUUGGAGGGAUCAAAUUUUAUUAUCAGUGUUUACUUAGCAGUUUCACUUUGUCUAGCCCAGGACUUCCUUAAUGUUUCUCUCCUUUCCAUUCUUCCUUCAGAGUCACGGAGAAGAGGAGACAGCGUGUGCAAGGGAAUGAAGAAAAGGACCAAGACUAUUUUCAAAUCACCCAUGGCACUACUAGAAAAGUAUUUCAGCAAAAAGACUGGCUGAUUUUAUGAUUCCUGUGUCCACCACAUCCCUCUAAUUUUUACAUACGUACCCCACAUCUCUCCAGAUUUCAGGAAGACUAUUAUUCUUUGACUUUAGCUUUCUGAUGGGUUCACAAAAAGCUGUUAGUGUGCUGUUGGUCCAGCUUUUUUCUUGUUGGAAAUAUGAGAGCUACAGUUCUGCGAUGAAACCACAGAGUCACGGAGAAGAGGAGACAGCGUGUGCAAGGGAAUGAAGAAAAGGACCAAGACUAUUUUCAAAUCACCCAUGGCACUACUAGAAAAGUAUUUCAGCAAAAAGACUGGCUGAUUUUAUGAUUCCUGUGUCCACCACAUCCCUCUAAUUUUUACAUAAUGCACCCCACAUCUCUCCAGAUUUCAGGAAGACUAUUAUUCUUUGACUUUAGCUUUCUGAUGGGUUCACAAAAAGCUGUUAGUGUGCUGUUGGUCCAGCUUUUUUCUUGUUGGAAAUAUGAGAGCUACAGUUCUGCGAUGAAACCACAGUUGUUGAGGAUUUCAGAUAUGGACUCUGGAGCUCAUGUUCUAAAGAAAUCCAUGUAUUUUCCAGCACUCAAUCCUCACUGCCAAAACUGUCAAGAACGUAAAGGGUCUGAGAUUGUACCCUACUUGCAAGGUAACAAGUUAACCUCGCAUAAUUUCAUGUCUGCUGGUAGAAGCUAUGACACUCCUGAGUCAGAAGUAAAGAACUGCUUAUAUUGUUUAUUUCUCACGGUAAUAGCAGUAACCAGAAUAUAA